CAGCCGCCGCGGUAAUACGUAGGUGGCAAGCGUUGUCCGGAAUUAUUGGGCGUAAAGGGCUCGCAGGCGGUUUCUGAAGUCUGAUGUGAAAGCCCCCGGCUCAACCGGGGAGGGUCAUUGGAAACUGGGAAACUUGAGUGCAGAAGAGGAGAGUGGAAUUCCACGUGUAGCGGUGAAAUGCGUAGAGAUGUGGAGGAACACCAGUGGCGAAGGCGACUCUCUGGCCUGUAACUGACGCUGAGGAGCGAAAGCGUGGGGAGCGAACAGGAUUAGAUACCCCGGUAGUCCCUGUCUCUUAUAC
RNAcentral lists this ribosomal RNA (301 nucleotides) under uncultured bacterium. Its description in RNAcentral is "partial 16S ribosomal RNA". It matches the Rfam family "Bacterial small subunit ribosomal RNA", at positions 509 to 807 of the family's 1533-position model. The record is from RNAcentral.